AUACGUAGGGAGCGAGCGUUGUCCGGAAUUACUGGGUGUAAAGAGCUCGUAGGUGGUUUGUCGCGUCGUCUGUGAAAUUCCGGGGCUUAACUCCGGGCGUGCAGGCGAUACGGGCACAACUUGAGUACUGUAGGGGAGACUGGAAUUCCUGGUGUAGCGGUGAAAUGCGCAGAUAUCAGGAGGAACACCGGUGGCGAAGGGGGGUCUAUGGGAAGUAACGGACGCUGAGGAGCGAAAGCAUGGGUCGCGAACAGGAUUAGAUACCCGGGUAGUCCAUGCCGUAAACGGUGGGCGCUAGGUGUAGGGGUCUUCCACGACUUCUGUGCCGUAGCUAACGCAUUAAGCGCCCCGCCUGGGGAGUACGGCCGCAAGGCUAAAACUCAAAUGAAUUGGCGGGG
RNAcentral lists this ribosomal RNA (398 nucleotides) under uncultured bacterium. Its description in RNAcentral is "partial 16S ribosomal RNA". It matches the Rfam family "Bacterial small subunit ribosomal RNA", at positions 523 to 918 of the family's 1533-position model. The record is from RNAcentral.